This 69-nucleotide transfer RNA is filed under the name Eupristina koningsbergeri. Its description in RNAcentral is "tRNA-His". Lineage: Eukaryota; Metazoa; Arthropoda; Insecta; Hymenoptera; Agaonidae. The record is from RNAcentral.
AUUUAAAUAAUUUAAUUAAAAUAUUGAUUUGUGGAAUCAAAAAUAUAUAUUAGUAAUAUAUUUUAAAUA